GAUGAACGCUGGCGGCAUGCCUAAUACAUGCAAGUCGAACGAGAGGAAGGAAAGCUUGCUUUCCUGAAUCUAGUGGCGAACGGGUGAGUAACACGUAGGUAACCUGCCCACUGUGCCCGGGACGUAACUUACUGGAAACGGGAAUGCUAAAACCGGAAUAGGUAGGCAGACAAGACAUUUGUACUGCUAUUAAAGUAGGCCUUGGCCAUGAACAAUGGAUGGACCUGCGGUGCAUUAGCUGGUU
Molecule: ribosomal RNA, 244 nt
Filed under: uncultured bacterium
Lineage: Bacteria
Description: partial 16S ribosomal RNA
Rfam family: Bacterial small subunit ribosomal RNA
Source: RNAcentral